Molecule: ribosomal RNA, 253 nt
Filed under: uncultured bacterium
Lineage: Bacteria
Description: partial 16S ribosomal RNA
Rfam family: Bacterial small subunit ribosomal RNA
Source: RNAcentral
GACGAAGGUGGCAAGCGUUGUUCGGAAUCACUGGGCAUAAAGAGCACGUAGGCGGCUAAGUAAGUCGGAUGUGAAAUACCUCGGCUCAACCGAGGAACUGCGUCCGACACUGCUUGGCUUGAGGUCCGGAGGGGAGAGUGGAAUUCCCGGUGGAGCGGUGAAAUGCGUAGAGAUCGGGAAGAACGCCGGCGGCGAAAGCGACUCUCUGGUCGGAAUCUGACGCUGAGGUGCGAAAGCUAGGGGAGCAAACGGG